This 1060-nucleotide long non-coding RNA is filed under the name Cicer arietinum (chickpea). RNAcentral describes it as "long non-coding RNA (CARI_LNC003764)". The record is from RNAcentral. Lineage: Eukaryota; Viridiplantae; Streptophyta; Magnoliopsida; Fabales; Fabaceae.
AUCAACUUUGAUAGGAAGCUCUAAAACCAUACUUGAGACUUCUCCAUCUUUGUUCGCAUCAGCAAACCUCCAAAACUCUUUAACUAGAGUAUCUACAGCAUAAGACUGGUCUAGGUUAAAGUACUCAGUCCAUCCAAUAUUAGCUUUCAUCUUCCAAUUGAUCUUCAAUUUAUAUAUAAUGAGAGGUUGUGAAUAUUGAAUUUAGACCAAAUAUAGUUUUUGGUCGUUCUUGCCAAUUGUCAAUUGCUUUAUUUGAAACAAUCUUCUUGUUUGCACUUCUGUCAAGAACGUUUUUCUUUAAACAAAAUGUUUCGCCUUGAGCCUUGAAGAAAACAUGACCGAUAAUGAUUAGAUGAUCACCAUUAUGGUCGUUGAAACAAUAUUGAUUCUAAGGCAUGUGCAGUUGUCACAUCAAUAGUUCCAAUUCAGUGUAUUUUAGUCCUUUUUAUAUUGGCCUCCAUGUCAUCAAUAUAAAGAUCAAUGUGCAAAAUAUUUUGCAAUGUUGUUUUAGUAAGUGGACCUUCAACAAUUGUCUUUUAAAUGCUCAUUAAUAUUAUAGUGCUCCAUGUUAUUUUGUUUGACACAUCUACUCAACUACGAUAACUUUGAUGUAUUUUUUUUCAUUUAAUAUAUUUUGUUUGAUUUUAUUAUUAUAAUUUAGUUUAUUUUAUUUAUUAAUUUAGUGUUUCUUCCUUUAUUAAAAAUAAAAAAUAAGGCAACACAUGGUCGCAUCUCCAGGAUGCAACCUCUUAUAGAAGAAAAAAAUUAUUUUAGGUGGUCACAUCCCAUCUCCGCUUUGCGAUCUCUUGAAGGUAAAAAAAAAAUUAUAACAUUUUUAUAUAUAAAUUUCAAUAUAUGGUAUAUUAAAAAGUUGAUUUCAAAAAAUAUAUAUAAUGAUAAAAAAAAAAAGAGUUUUAAUUUGUUCAUAUUGUGUUAGCUCAAUAAUAAGAGUUUAACACUCUAAUUAGAGUUGGUAUAAUUUAAGGUAAUUCAUGACAUAACAUUUAUUGUAGUUGAGUUUAUUAUGUUGAUAUUAAUAUUGAGACUCUGAAUAUCGUUG